This 497-nucleotide ribosomal RNA is filed under the name uncultured bacterium. RNAcentral's name for it is "partial 16S ribosomal RNA". It matches the Rfam family "Bacterial small subunit ribosomal RNA", at positions 28 to 507 of the family's 1533-position model. The record is from RNAcentral.
GACGAACGCUGGCGGCGUGCCUAAUACAUGCAAGUUGAGCGCUGAAGGUUGGUACUUGUACCAACUGGAUGAGCAGCGAACGGGUGAGUAACGCGUGGGUAAUCUGCCUUUGAGCGGGGGACAACAUUUGGAAACGAAUGCUAAUACCGCAUAAAAACUUUAAACACAAGUUUUAAGUUUGAAAGAUGCACUUGCAUCACUCAAAGAUGAUCCCGCGUUUUAUUAGCUAGUUUGUGAGGUAAAGGCUCACCAAGGCGAUGAUACAUAGCCGACCUGAGAGGGUGAUCGGCCACAUUGGGACUGAGACACGGCCCAAACUCCUACGGGAGGCAGCAGUAGGGAAUCUUCGGCAAUGGACGAAAGUCUGACCGAGCAACGCCGCGUGAGUGAAGAAGGUUGUCGGAUCGUAAAACUCUGUUGGUAGAGAAGAAAGUUGGUGAGAGUGGAAAGCUCAUCAAGUGACGGUAACUACCCAGAAAGGGACGGCUAACUACGUG